UACAGAGGGUGCAAGCGUUAAUCGGAAUUACUGGGCGUAAAGCGAGCGUAGUCGGUUAUUUAAGUCGGAUGUGAAAUCCCCGGGCUCAACCUGGGAAUUGCAUUCGAUACUGGAUAGCUAGAGUUCGGCAGAGGGGAGCGGAAUUUCUGGUGUAGCGGUGAAAUGCGUAGAUAUCAGAAGGAACAUCAGUGGCGAAAGCGGCUUCCUGGACCAGAACUGACGAUCAGGCUCGAAAGCGUGGGGAGCAAACAGG
RNAcentral lists this ribosomal RNA (253 nucleotides) under uncultured bacterium. RNAcentral describes it as "partial 16S ribosomal RNA". It matches the Rfam family "Bacterial small subunit ribosomal RNA", at positions 524 to 776 of the family's 1533-position model. The record is from RNAcentral.